Molecule: ribosomal RNA, 405 nt
Filed under: uncultured bacterium
Lineage: Bacteria
Description: partial 16S ribosomal RNA
Rfam family: Bacterial small subunit ribosomal RNA
Source: RNAcentral
AUUGAACGCUGGCGGCAGGCUUAACACAUGCAAGUCGAACGAGUGGCGGACGGGAUGGUAAUGAAUGGGACUCUAGCUGAUGGAUGGGGAUAGCUACGGGGAACUGUAGCUAAUACCGCCUACCAUAGGAUGAGCCCAAGUGGGAUGAGGUAGUUGGUGAGGUAAAGGAUCACCAAGACGACGAUCUGUAGCUGGUCGGAGAGGAUGACCAGCCACACUGGGACUGAGACACGGUCCAGACUCCUACGGGAGGCAGCAGUGGGGAAUAUUGCGCAAUGGGGGAAAGCUGACGCAGCCAUGCCGCGUGAAUGAAGAAGGCCUUCGGGUUGUAAAGUUCUUUCAGUAGGGAGGCGUUAACAACAGAAGAAGCACCGGCUAACUCCGUGCCAGCAGCCGCGGUAAUUC